RNAcentral lists this ribosomal RNA (564 nucleotides) under uncultured eukaryote. RNAcentral describes it as "partial 18S ribosomal RNA". The record is from RNAcentral.
ACCAGACUUGCCCUCCAAUAGAUCCUCGUUAAAGGAUUUAAAGUGUACUCAUUCCGAUUACGGAGCCUCUAAAGAGUCCCGUAUCGUUAUUUUUCGUCACUACCUCCCCGAGCUGGGAGUGGGUAAUUUGCGCGCCUGCUGCCUUCCUUGGAUGUGGUAGCCGUUUCUCAGGCUCCCUCUCCGGAAUCGAACCCUAAUUCCCCGUUACCCGUUACCACCAUGGUAGGCGCAUAACCUACCAUCGACAGUUGAUAAGGCAGACACUUGAAAGAUACGUCGCCGGUACAAGACCAUGCGAUCAGCAAAGUUAUUCAGAGUCACCAUUUAACGAGCCCGAAGACCCGAUUGGCUUUGAUCUAAUAAAAGCGCUCCUUCCACGAGGGUUGGAGCCCAGCGCAUGUAUUAGCUCUAGAAUUACCACAGUUAUCCAAGUAGUAAGUGCGAUCUAAGGAACCAUAACUGAUGUAAUGAGCCAUUCGCGGUUUCACUUUAUUUUCGCUUGAACUUAGACAUGCAUGGCUUAAUCUUUGAGACAAGCAUAUGACUACUGGCAGGAUCAACCAG